Molecule: long non-coding RNA, 653 nt
Organism: Eubalaena glacialis (North Atlantic right whale)
Lineage: Eukaryota; Metazoa; Chordata; Mammalia; Artiodactyla; Balaenidae
Exons: 3
Source: RefSeq, a predicted model, not a curated record
CCUGUGACAGGACCGAGCCCGUCGGCGUUGCCCUUGAAGGAUUCCAGAAGCAUAAGGACAGGUCUCCUCGCGCAGCAACCCGACGAUACUGUUCCCCGCCCUUUUAAGGGCUGCUGGAAGUCCUCAGCAGGAGCUGAAGCUGUGUAGCGACUGGGGCUGAGGGGCCUGCCCGGCCUGUCAGUAGUGACCCAGAGGAUGAGGAGGACAAAAUCAGUAUAACCAUGAUCUGUAAGGGUGGACAUGACUCAACGGCCAGACUGUGCCUGGCUAAUGGAUUCCUGCUUCUCAUACCUGACUCCAUCUAAGAAGGUUUAGCCCCUUAAGGAAAAAGUAUUUUCGCUGUUUCAGAGAGUCAAGUGACCGGAAGAAGAGGAUCCUGCCCUCAAAGGAUCUAGCAGAAAUGUGAUUAGACUUCGUGGUUCUGGUCUGCAAGAAGCAAAGAAUAACCAGCUGACUCCCACUGCCCCUGAAGACACCAGCUGAAACUGCAGCAAGAAACAUGGAGGUCAAAUCAACAUAAGGACUUCCUGGCUGAGAUUUGGAAAGUGGUGAAGGAGACCCUGGAUGGAGAGACUCCCGUGUCUGUCUGGGAGCCUGCCCUACUGCCUUCCUUGUGACAUUCCUGCCUCUGUUCCUACAAAGCUCUCCUCUUU